Molecule: transfer RNA, 68 nt
Filed under: Conepatus semistriatus (striped hog-nosed skunk)
Lineage: Eukaryota; Metazoa; Chordata; Mammalia; Carnivora; Mephitidae
Description: tRNA-Gly
Source: RNAcentral
GUUUCUCUAGUAUAAUUAGUACAAUUGACUUCCAAUCAAUUAGCUCUGACGUAAACCAGAGAGAAAUA